AUGGGUCCCCACUGGGUGUGGGUGGUCAGCGGGCGGGCAUCUCUGCAGACCCCAGGGGAGGGACUGGAAGCCCAGGUGAGCCCCAUCCCGCCAGAGGAAGCCAUGGUCCAUGACGCCCGUGGAGUGGGCAGUGCCAGGAUGGAGCGGGAGAUGCCAGACCCGGGACUAGGACAGGUUUUGAAAGGGGCGGGCUGGGCAGGGUUUGGGCAGGCGCAGCGGGAGUGUGUCCGGGCAAAGCAUGUGCACCUGUGGGGAAGCCAAGUCUCCCCAGCUUCCUUCUUCCCUCCCCCCUCCUCCUCUCCCGUCCCCUCUGUCCUCCCUCUCCCUACCUCCUUCCCCUUCACACCUGUCCUGUCCCUCCUCCCUCCCUCCCCCUUCCUUCCCUCCUCCCUCCCUUCCUCCCCUCCUUCCUCCUCCUCUCUGCCUCCCCUCAUAGCUCCUUCACACCCGCUCCCUCCCUCCCUCCCUCCCUCCCUCCCUCCACAAGUGACCCCCUGUGCCCGCAUCCUUGCUCCCCCAGGGCUGGCUGUGUGGGUUAGCAGAUGCUCCCAGCAAUGCCUGUGCCCUUUACAGCAUGAGAAUUCUGUGACCGUGGUGGGUCCAGCUGUCACCGAGAGAGGGAGAGUCUGGUGGAGACAGCCUGGAAUGGCCCCGGACACCUCCGCUGGGCAGGGGGGCUCGGUACCCACCUUGCUCCGGGGACACAGGAGCACCCCUGCCCAGCAGCCAGGCGGGAGGGCAAGUGGGGGUCUUCCGGGGUCGAGGGCUGGAGGUCACAGGCACGUCCCGAGCUCUUGGAGCGGCCCGGCCGCCCCUUGUGCCAGGAUGGACAGGGUCACCUCCCCGAGACCCUGUUGGGGACCCCGCCGCUGGGGCCGUGCCCUCCAGGAUGGGCAGCCCCAGGCCCUAGCCUGGCUGACGGUGGCCUCAGAGGGAUUCUCGGGGCACCUCUGUCCUCACCAAGGGCUCUUUAGAGAGGAAAAAAGAACACAUUUCAACACCUCCAGAUUCUGA
RNAcentral lists this long non-coding RNA (1014 nucleotides) under Canis lupus dingo (dingo). RNAcentral's name for it is "lncRNA (ENSCAFG00020010824.1)". The record is from RNAcentral. Lineage: Eukaryota; Metazoa; Chordata; Mammalia; Carnivora; Canidae.